RNAcentral lists this ribosomal RNA (393 nucleotides) under Chytridiomycetes sp. RNAcentral's name for it is "partial small subunit ribosomal RNA". It matches the Rfam family "Eukaryotic small subunit ribosomal RNA", at positions 582 to 975 of the family's 1831-position model. The record is from RNAcentral. Lineage: Eukaryota; Fungi; Chytridiomycota; Chytridiomycetes.
AUUCCAGCUCCAAUAGCGUAUAUUAAAGUUGUUGCAGUUAAAAAGCUCGUAGUUGAAUUUUGGGUUCGGUUUGGCGGUCUAAUCGAAAAGGUUAGCUUACUGCUAAGGCCGAAUCUUUACCUUCUGGGGAACAUGGAUGUCAUUCAUUUGGUGUCUAUGGGAGCCAGGACUUUUACUUUGAAAAAAUUAGAGUGUUUAAAGCAAGCUUACGCUUGAAUACAUUAGCAUGGAAUAAUAGAAUAGGACUUUGGUUCUAUUUUGUUGGUUUCUAGGACUGAAGUAAUGAUUAAUAGGGUCAGUCGGGGGCAUUAGUAUUUAAUUGUCAGAGGUGAAAUUCUUGGAUUUAUGAAAGACUAACUUCUGCGAAAGCAUUUGCCAAGGAUGUUUUCAUUA